GCCUUCGUGGUGUAAUGGUCAGCACACUCGGCGCGUAUUCGAGAGUUUCGAGGUUCGAGUCCCGGCGAAGGCA
This is a non-coding RNA of Stegodyphus mimosarum, 73 nucleotides long. The record is from Rfam. Lineage: Eukaryota; Metazoa; Arthropoda; Arachnida; Araneae; Eresidae.